Molecule: long non-coding RNA, 7775 nt
Organism: Strigops habroptila (Kakapo)
Lineage: Eukaryota; Metazoa; Chordata; Aves; Psittaciformes; Psittacidae
Exons: 2
Source: RefSeq, a predicted model, not a curated record
UACACAGCAUUUUUACUGCAGGAAUCCUUCCAAACAUUGCACAGAUGGAAUUUCACAUCUGACAAAAGAAACAGAUAACAUUCAUCGAGCAAAAAACCCUCAAUACCGCCUGAGUUUGCCUUUGCUUGCUCAUGCAAUUGUGCCGUUUCUCUGUUUUUAGUGUCAAAAGCACUCUCCAGAGACUGGUUCUGAGAAAUGUUUUUUUUGGAUUUUUUUAAGGCAGCAUAGAUGACAGACAAUGUGCUUUACCAACAUCUAUGGAAACACUCGCCACCCUUUCAAAAUGCUGAAACAUUUUCGUACUGUAAAGAUGCCAGGGAGCUUCGUACAAGCCUCUCUUCUGGGGGCCGUCAGGCAACCAACUCAUUAAGCCCCAGCAAUAGAGAAGCAGUGCCUUCAGCUCAGCAGAGCCUGCAUGCUCCUGCCCGCUGGUACAGAGGAGCCCGCAGCGGCAGAGGGAUCACCGUCAUGUCUAAACCCCAAGAUGGAUGAAGAGGAGCAACCUGCUCUGGGGAACUGGGGCAAAUUUGGAUUCUUCAAGGUCUUGUUCCUGAGGACACAACUUUGGCAGUUGCAAUGGGUCUCCAAGGCACCGUAGGCAACGGAGGUGUGCGCGGUGGGACGGGACUAUCCCUCUCUUCUCCUCUAGCCCAAUCAUACCAUGUUCCUGGAGUGAGUGACUGAGACUCAUUUGAAGAACUGCGCCUGUUGCUGAAGAGCUGCUAUUCAGAGGUGUGCUUGUUCGUGGGCAUGCAUCUGUGCGCACAUGCAUGGCUGUGUGAGUCUCUAUAGAGCUUUAAGGUAUGGAAUGCAUUAUGAACAUCCCCCCCCUUCCCAAAAACACUCACUCGCCCCUGAAACGUGUUGUGACUACCAUGAAUUAAAUAUUGCUACUGUGCUAUAGCAUCAUAUUGCAAUAUGCAGAACUGGCCAUUACUGGCUUUUCCUGCAUUGCUGAAUAUUAUUUGUAGGCAUUUCCAUGGAGUCCUCCAUGAGGAUAUCCAAACCUCCUACAAGAUUAAGACAUCCCACCACUACCUGAGAGGAGCCACACACUCUUGUCACACCUUUGGAGUCCAAUUUCUCCCCGUUCUGCCACUGCUGCUCUCCAGGUGCAUCUGCUCUGUGUUUCUUUUGACAUGGUUGCUUGAGAGCCUUCCAGAUUCAGCAACUGGCUCUGCUUCAUAUUUUAAAAGUGAGGAGGUUUAAGCUCAGCCAAGUCCUCCCAAGACACAGAAUCUAUCACUGUGGAUCACUUUAUGGAAGCAUCCUGCCCUUGGCAUCCCAGCCCAGCCACCGCCAGCCAGCGCAUCCCCUCAAGGAGCUGCUGCAGACAGCCCAGGCAUGUGUAUGGGCAGAGUCCAGCAAAAGCUGCAUGCUCCAAAAUGAUCCAGGAGUUGAUUCUGGGUGAAUCAAAUUGUAAUUCACGAAGUAAUUCCUUGGACAAACUUGCUUGAAAACAGACUCAUGCCACAGAAUACUGAAUUUGCUGGAAAGUCACAAAGCACUCAGGUGUUUACUAAAUCAAUUUUUUGGCCUAAAAAAAUGAGACUAGCAAGACAGUUUAUCACCAGGUUGCUGGCUGUUGUUGUUCUUGUUCGUUCUCAGCAGGACUCAUUUACGUAGACAAUUUCAACUACGACUGAAAAACAGAGACGGUAAAAAAAACAGAGAAGGCAGUUCCUAAUGUUCACGGGGACGGACAAGGUGAACGUAUCAGAGCUGCUAAUCAUCCAUUUUGACUGCUCAGUCUGGGAAGGCUGAAAAAAGUGUAUAUAGGAACCAGUCUGUGUUUAGGAAUAACAUUUCCUUUCUGAUGACACACAGAAAUGACAUUUAGAUGCUGCUUCAACAGAUGCAUUAUUUUAUUACAAGCAAAUACAGGAGCUUUGUUUUCCCUGUUACUGUAUGACUUACAUCAUCUGAAACCUUUCUACCAAGAGGUCUCACUUCAAAUGACAGUGAAAAUUGUUCUGAGAACUAGAUGUGUUAGGUCUGCUUCAGAUGUCCAGAGGACUUCAUCCAUUCACCAUUCCUAGGUGCUUGGCUGGAGAGGGAUUUCAUUCUCCUCAAAAAAUUAUUAGCUGAAAGUGGGGUAAGUUUAGAGUCACACUAUUUGACUGACAGAGAAGCAUAUAUGAAGUUUGUCUGAUGUAGCUCUAAUACAGAUAUCAGCCCUGAAAUGCACAUUCUCAGGCUUCUCUGCCUGCACCUUGGAUCUUUCAGUCAGCUCAGUUCUUUCUGGGCUGGUGACACCUAUUUUGAGAACCGACACCCUAAAUAUCAGAGCAAGGAAAACAGAGGGGUUUCUCUCUAUUUCUCCAUUCAGCAACCACACUGCUUUGCAAGCAGACAUGCAGACCAGCUGAGGUGGUGGAUUCCCCUCAGUGCCAAGCAAGCCAGCAAACUUUCUUGCUUCCAAACCCCUACAAUGGCCAGCUCUACAGCUUCAGAGGAAAGAGCUGGGGCUGAGCUCAAUACAAGCAUGCUUUGGUGGAGUGAUGGUCACCCCAGCACGGACGACCCUGCACACCAUUUCAGCUCCUUUUAUUUGGGAGAAGAGAUUUGCUUUUGAUACAUUUCUGUGACUUCUUCUGUUCUUUGUUAACAUGCUUUCUUCCUUUAUGUAACUUGAAAGCUGCAGCUAGAGGAAAAGGGAGAGGAAGCUUAAUAAAGACUUCUAACAGGGAAGGCUAAAUGGAAUCUGUUGUUACAUGAUUGGUAUAAAACCAAACCUGUAGAUUCUGCCACAGAAUGGUGCAAUGUUCUGCUGUUUCCUACCAGAUGAUCAGAGUGAUUUAAGAAUAGAUUUGGAACCUGCUGUACUUGAAUGUCUCACGUGGCCUGUGGCAAAAUUGGGUGACUUAGACUCAAAUACAAUACUCUGUCCUCUGCAGCAGAAAUAACAUGACUGUGUUUGGCAGAAGAUUCAGAAGAAACCCACUCCUUCCUGAAGUGUUGCCUGCAUUGUAGUCACUGGGCUACAAUGGGCUGCCUAUACCAACUGCCCUUCGUAUUACAAAAUAGAGAAGGUGAGAUCUCAGAAGUUAUUGACUCCCUGCACCAACUGGGCAGUGAAAUCCAACUCUUUCAGCUUCAUCCCAAUUUGUGCUGCAACUUGUGUGUGUGUGUACAUAUAUAUAUGUAUAUAUAGACACUUCUGUAUCCCUCUUGAUUUAAUAUACGAACUGAGGCUGCUGUUUCACGUUCUGGCCUCAAUGCAAGAAGCUGCUGCUGGUUUCUGAAUAACCCAAGAAAAAUUGAGGUACCAGAUAAACUCAAAAAAAACCUUCAGUGCCCAAGACAGCAAGGACUGAAAUACAAUUGUUGGAUUCUCCAAACACUUGCUCUUGAGCUACACAAGCGAAGGGAGAAUCGGUUCCCAGGUGUAAAGGCUGGAAGGGAUUAUGCCUUCCCUGCAGCCUGUGAGUACAACUGCAAAAGCACCCACAGUUGAGAAAGGUUAAUCAACUUAAUCUCACACCCUGCUCUGCUACAGUUCAUCUAUCUAAUACCACCUCGCCAAGGUUUUGCCUUCUGUGAAUCUUUAUGUGAAACAAACAGAAAAAAUGGACUCUGUCAUAGACAGCAGGCCACAAAAAGCCAGUUUUCUAACAAACACAAAAUCCACAUCCUGUGAUACUGGGAGAAAACUUACACGCUCAGGGCCAGGUUUAUGCAAGAAAGUAACCUCUGGGGUGAGGAAAAAUGAGAAACACAUUUACAUUUUUUGGUUGUAUUUUUUAAAACACACUGUAAGUGGGAACAGAGCAGGAGAAUCGAUUAGUAUGAUGGUAAAUAAUUGCAAAUAUCAGAGUAAUUCAGGUUCUUAGACAUUUGUUUUUGAAGCAUUGCCUCCAGCGCCUAGCCCAGAUUCAAGUAACUGUAAUAACCUGAAGAUGAUGGAAGUAAUUCGAAGUGGGCUUCACGCAGGCACCUUGCCCGGGAAGAGCAUGCAAAAUUUCAGCCCCACUCAGGUUUAUACUAGCUGCUCAUCUAACCCUGCACCCAACCUGCCACCACAUGAGCAAAGGAGCACGCUGAUGCCCAAAAGCAAACAACCAACUGAACGCUACUGGGUGCAAGUCCCACAAGAGCUCCACUGGGACCUGCAGAAGCGCUGGGUUGCUGCAGUGCUGAGACAGGAUGUCACCCCAACCCUCACACGCAUUUCUUAGAAACUACAGAUGUGAGCACAAAAAUGAACCUCAAAUGAACCUGCUGGCAGCUGAAAAAGUGGAAGGUUGUUCAGGACAAAGCAUCUGAUUUCUGACAGAUUAGGUACACCUAAAUAAUAGGUGGGAAGUGACCCCACAGCUGAUGAGCUCCACGUCCACCCAUGGCAGCCCUCUCUCCAUGGGUAUAUCCCUUAUAGGCUCUCCCAUGGCCAAGCCCAGUGCCCACCAGAGGCAGAUAGGGAGAGCGGUCUCUUGUUCCCACCUGCAAACCGCACACAGCACCUUCAGGGCAAGGUGGCUCUUCCCCUCCCUUUUCUUUUUGAUCACACCACCAGGUUUUCACCUCUCUCUGUAGUUUUCCAGUCAACUCAGUCUUCUGUGCUUUGCCUUCUUUCCAUUUUUACCAUUAUCUCAUCCCACAUUCACAUUUCUGUAGCAACCCAGAGUUACACCCUGCAUUUUAAUUAUGCGUCAUCACUUUAUGUCCUUCACUUUCUUUUCAUUUCCAAAACUGAACCAUCUCUGUCUUUGAAUUUCCCUUUUUUAAUCUAUAGCUAAUUUUUCACAUACAAAGGCCCUUGCUAUUUUUUAGAUGAAUACAGCCUUCUGCUGACUUCAGUUAAUGGGCACUUUACUUCCCUUUGCCAUUUUAGCUUUUUUAAACCUCAGUGACAUGCAGACAUACCUCUCAGAGAGGGGGAAGAUAAAACAAAACAAGACAGACCCAUUUGUAUUUAUUCACAUCUGUACAGUUAUUUAACAGCCAUGAGCAAGGAUAUUCUAUGGGUGUGUAUACAUACCUUUACUAUAUGGUACAGAAUACCUAUAUCAACUUGCAGCCAGAAAGACAGUCUCUUAAGACGUGAAGCUGUGGCAUAAAACAUUCAUGAAAAGAGCUCAUCUUCCAUUUUUGAAUGGCUGGAAAAGACAGGAGCGAAGCUUGUAAUCAACCACCAGGAAAGAAAUGAUUUUGCAAUUCCAUCUAAGCGAGACACAUCACCUGUCUCAUCAGCCUUAUAAUAGCUUUCCAAUGUUUAUACUUACACGGCAGUACACAUGAAGUCAGCUUAGUGUCCUCCUUUGCCUGAAACAACCAACUGGAUCAAAGGGACUGUUGUGGAAAUGUGGCUAAAUAUUUGUCAGCUGCUUUUAUAAGAGGAGGAGGGAGGAAAACCCCUACCCCCAGUAUCGUCACAAGGUGAAGAAAACAUCCUUAAAAUCCUCUAGGUAAGUACAGCAUCAAAAGAGACUGUCAGCACAUUUUUGACAGCUAAUUUCCUGAUGCAGGAGAUGAGCAGGUCAAAUAAGCCUAAAGAAAGUUUGGCUCUUGUAUUCACGGUUUACAGAGCUGAUGCAGAAAUUUUACUGCAGGAGAAGGGUAACUGCUAUACUUCAAAAGAGAAAUCCAGAGGAAAAAGUAAAAAUAAACCCCAAGCACCAGCUGAUGAUAACUAAUUCUCUCCUUCUUCUAAACUGGAAACUAACCAAAAGAAGGGAGAUAAAGAAGGGAACAACCAACACUUUAUAGCAAUUAAAGUUUAUUAAACUCCUGAGGCAGUGAGACACAUAACACGGUGUUAAGGUCAGUGGACAUGAGGCUGCAGCACACCAGCAGUUAAGUCGUCUCCAGCUCUAAGGAUGACAGUCAGAUUUUUAACUCGGAAUGGCAGAAAAUGUAGUUCAAGGUUACCAAAGCCCCAGAGCACACAGAUGCAAACCUCCUGGGGAACUGUCUGCAGUCCCUCCACAGGCACAGCAGGCUGUGAGAGGAGGGCAGGAGGAAGAGUCCGUACCAUCACAUGGCUGAUUUAGCAGAGAGCAAAACAGAACCAAAACAGACUUGCUGCAAGGUGAAAGUGAUGUAGGUCAGCAAUCAGAACAUCGAUUCAGAUAAACUCUGAGGUUGGGGCAAAUAAGGAAAUAAUCUAACGUAACCUCCUAUAUAAUAUGAAGGCCAUAAAAUUUCAUUCGGACCAAGCACACCACCAUUACCAAUUCUGAGCCUCAUCAUUUGAUGGGAUUGUAAACAAUCUUCCUCAAAUUAAUUCCAUAUGAGGACCAGUAGCUUCCAACAGCUCUAAGCAUCCUCUGAUUUUAUUUAUACCAUCUUGCACCUACCCAACUUUGAGCAGCACUUCUCAUACGAACAUCCUCAUACAUCAGUCACCAGAGGAACUAGCAGCAACUGAGCAGAUACCCAAGCACAAACAUGAUGAGGUCAGCCAGAGUCUGAGGCAGUGUGACACUGGCACAAAUGAAGGUGGAGGAUUCCCAUUGUUAUUCUAAGGAUACUAUGCCAGAAACACACAUAAUAACCUCCCAAAGUGGACGACAGAAUCCCAUUUGGAAUUUUCUAACUGGAAAAACAUACAGGAGUAGGUCUAUCUUAGUGCAUGGAGUAGGUUAGCAGUUUCACUUACAGGCAAAAGAAGUCUCAAACUUUCCCUGCUACCUAUUCAUCUUUUUCCCACUCUAUAAACCCUUCCUAGAUGAUCUUAAGGUCUUUUCCAACCCCAACCAUUCUAUGAUUCUAUGAUUCCUACAUACAACAAACCUCCACUGCAGCAUGUCCAGCAACAGCCAGGGUGCUCAGUACCCUGCUGGAGGCUUCUGCUCCGAAUCAGGCAGAACAGAAACUUAGAUCCAAGCUUCCCUUCUUUUAGAAGAUGCCCUGGCUAUUAUUUACCUGUUCGUGGGAGGCACUUUGGGCACAUUUUGAUCAGAAAUCCUGUCCAAAACCCUCAGACAUCUUUUUGUCACCAGAAAUUGUUUUCCUUUCCAAACAGUUCUUCCCUGGCUCAUCUGUUGUUUGGACAUUGUAUCUCUGCUAGAUACAGUGCUAGAGGCACACAAAUCCCAUCAAACAUCAUAACAGAAUCAAGACAAUAAAUGUUCAAGAUGAUGAGAGCUAGAGAGAAGUGAUGAAGCUUUUCAAUUUCAAUUCCAUAUAAAUUGAAGAGCAAGCAAAGCAGACAACAACAAGAAAAAAUCACCUUAAAACUGUGCUGUAGGAAGCUGGACUUAGUCCCUGACUCAGGUGAGUGUUCUACUUCCCUACAACACCAAAAUAAGCAAGCAGACUAUACCCAUCUGAUGCAGCUGAUUGGAAAUACUAAUGUUGUACAACCCACAAUCCCACAAAAUGAAAACAAGAUUACAUAUUGAGGUUGACAAGGGCAUUGUUUUCAAAACAAAAGGUUCUAAUUUGUUCUCCUACUGAACCAUUUUCAUUACCCUCACAAGAGAUGGGAGCGCUGUCCCAGCAGGGAUAUCCAUCCUUCCAACCAGUAAAUGAAGCAUUUCUUCACGGAGAUGUAAAAGAUGAAGUAAUCAGCAUUUCCCAUUUUAAAGUAGAAUCUGUUUUUAUUCAACACAGGACUGUAAACGGAUAAAAUUCACAAUAACCAGCAUUAAAAAAAACCUACCACCAAACCCUACAGCCAUACUUAAAUUUUGCUCUACAUACUGGUCACUCACAUUUCUACAUACAAAAUUUUGUCAAGUCUUGCUCACUACCAGGUUAAUAGAUAUUGACACCCAAUACUAACAAAGCACACAGUUUAUUCACAACUUCUAGGGGACUUCUAGGGUUGUUAA